GACGAACGCUGGCGGCGUGCUUAACACAUGCAAGUCGAACGGAAAGGCCUGCUUUCCCUUGUGGAUUGCGGGUACUCGAGUGGCGAACGGGUGAGUAACACGUGAGUGAUCUGCCCCCAACUUGGGUAUAAGCCUGGGAAACUGGGUCUAAUUCCCGAUAGGACUGCAGGGUGGUGCCUGUGGUGGAAAACGAUUUUCUAGUGGUUGGGGAUGAGCUCGCGGCCUAUCAGCUUGUUGGUGGGGUAAUGGCCUACCAAGGCGGCGACGGGUAGCCGGCCUGAGAGGGUGGACGGCCACAUUGGGACUGAGAUACGGCCCAGACUCCUACGGGAGGCAGCAGUGGGGAAUAUUGCACGAUGGGCGGAAGCCUGAUGCGGCGACGCCGCGUGGGGGAUGACGGCCCUCGGGUUGUAAACUCCUUUCGACCGCGAGGAAGCCACCUGGUUGGAAGGGUGGUGACGGUAGUGGUAGAAGAAGCACCGGCUAACUACGUG
Molecule: ribosomal RNA, 494 nt
Filed under: uncultured bacterium
Lineage: Bacteria
Description: partial 16S ribosomal RNA
Rfam family: Bacterial small subunit ribosomal RNA
Source: RNAcentral